RNAcentral lists this long non-coding RNA (580 nucleotides) under Homo sapiens (human). Its description in RNAcentral is "non-protein coding lnc-CD8B2-15:2". Lineage: Eukaryota; Metazoa; Chordata; Mammalia; Primates; Hominidae. The record is from RNAcentral.
UGUAAAUGUCAGAGUUGGCAUGCUGCAUUCUGGUUGCAGACCUCUGUGUCUUCUGACUUUUCCAAGGGAGGGCAAGACUCAAAGAAGCAGUUAGAGUCAGUUACUUAUAACCUAAGUAAGACAAAGAAUAGUAAGCUGCAAAGAUGUGAUAAAGCAAAGGGGAUUGUGGUAGGAAAUUUAACUGGGUGGAGAAACUGCUAGGAAGAUAAAGUUUAGUUUAACAAGGCUUGUUUGUACAAAAUUCUUUCUGCCUCAAUUUUCUCAUCCUUGAUGAUAAGAAUGUUGCUUUUUCUUUAGCGUAGGGAGGACAAAUUUCAGUGGGAAUUUCUUCUUCUGCUUUUAAGAAACAGCAAAAAAGUCAGAGUGAUUGUUUUGCACCUGCCAUUUUGAAAGUGCCUUUAAUGUAAGUAGUAAAUAUGCCAGAGUGGUAUGUUUGUCACUCCUUCAUCCUCAAGGUUCAUCCAUGUUGUAGCAUGUGACAAGAUUUUCUUCUUUUUACAGGCUGAAUAGUGUUACCUUGUACAUAUAUGCCACGUUUUAAAAUCCAUUCAUCCAACAAUGGACACUAGGUUGCUUCCAC